GUGCCAGCAGCCGCGGUAAUACAGAGGGUGCAAGCGUUAAUCGGAAUUACUGGGUGUAAAGGGCGCGUAGGCGGCUAUGUAAGUUAGAUGUGAAAUUUCUGGGCUUAACCUGGGGACUGCAUUUAAAACUGUAUGGCUAGAGUAGGGUAGAGGGAAGUGGAAUUUCCGGUGUAGCGGUGAAAUGCGUAGAUAUCGGAAAGAACAUCGGUGGCGAAGGCGGCUUUCUGGACUUAUACUGACGCUGAGGCGCGAAAGCAUGGGGAGCAAACAGGAUUAGAUACCCUAGUAGUCC
RNAcentral lists this ribosomal RNA (292 nucleotides) under uncultured bacterium. RNAcentral describes it as "partial 16S ribosomal RNA". It matches the Rfam family "Bacterial small subunit ribosomal RNA", at positions 505 to 796 of the family's 1533-position model. The record is from RNAcentral.